RNAcentral lists this ribosomal RNA (276 nucleotides) under uncultured bacterium. RNAcentral describes it as "partial 16S ribosomal RNA". It matches the Rfam family "Bacterial small subunit ribosomal RNA", at positions 85 to 354 of the family's 1533-position model. The record is from RNAcentral.
CUGCCGGCGACCGGCGCGACGGGUGAGUAACACGUAUCGACAACCUCGUCCUUACAGGGGGAUAACCGGAAGAAAUUCCGACUAAUACCGCAUAAUACUUUCCGGAGACAUCUCCGGAGAUUCAAAGGAAGUGAUUCCGGCAAAGGAUGGGCAUGCGUCGCAUUAGCUAGUCGGCGGGGUAACGGCCCACCGAGGCGACGAUGCGUAGGGGUUCUGAGAGGAAGGUCCCCCACACUGGUACUGAGACACGGACCAGACUCCUACGGGAGGCAGCAG